Long non-coding RNA from Aegilops tauschii subsp. strangulata, 1698 nucleotides. RefSeq lists it as uncharacterized. The record is from RefSeq and is a predicted model, not a curated record. Lineage: Eukaryota; Viridiplantae; Streptophyta; Magnoliopsida; Poales; Poaceae.
AGAUCCCCUCCUCUCUUCUCCCGAUUCACCCCUCGUCUCCCUCCCAUCCCACGCCGCCGCCGCCGCCCACCGUGCUUCUUCUCUCCCCCGCACCAUCCUUCGCUCCCCCGCACCCGCCGCUCAUCCCCGCCGUCCUUUCUCGCUGCCAGCCCCGCCGCGCUCCUUCACUCCGCCACCCGCUCGGCCCCGCCGCCCCUUCACUCCUACGCAUGGACAGGGGAGGCCGCACGCACGCACGCACCAGAGACCGGGCGGCGGAGGCCGCGCCCGACGGGGAGGCCGGACGGCGGAGGUCGCACGCACCUGAGGCCGGACAGCGACGACGGAGGCCGCACGCACCUGAGGCCAGACAGCGACGACGGAGGCUGCACGCACCCGACGGGGAGGCCGAAUGGGGACGGCGGGAGGCCGCACCCAGCCGACGGGGAGGCCAGCACAGUGACGGCGGGAGGCCGCACGCAUCGGACGGGGAGGCCAGAAGGCGACGGCGCGAGGAGGCAGCACGCACCGGACGGGGAGGCUGGAAGGCGACGGCGCGCGGAGGCCGCACGCACCCGAUGGCGACGGCGGAGGUCGAUUUGGAUUAUCCGCUGGAUUGGAUCAAACUGCGAAUUCUCAUGUUGAGACAAUGAUGUUGACUGAUGCACCUCUUCUAUAUACUCCUGGACAGGUAGCUUAAGCUAUAAAUAAUAUGAUUAAUCUUCAAUUAAUGUUUAUCUUUAUGACCUUAAUUUGUCGGAACUCUGUGUUUCAUGAUGCUAAUCAGAUAAUUGCAAAGUGUUCUUUCAAGGCAACACUUUGUUUGUGUGGUCGAACCUUUUUUUAAGAUAUUCAGCACAAUCAAUCACCUGGUAAGAACGUUUGCCUAGCUUGGCACAGUACAGUUUAUAACAUAAUCAUGUAAAGUCCCACCAAUAAUUGUUCUUUAGCUAUGUGUUUCAUUUCACCGGUCUACAUGAACACUCUGUGUUAAAAAAAAAGAUUAACCAAGGUGGUGCUUGGUUGAACAUAUGCCACUGGUUAGGAGGGUAUUUAAGCAUUUGUGCCGUUAUCAGUACCUUUCACAUUGCCUCUAUUAUUUCAACAUGUGUAUAUGCAGGUUAACCAGCUUCAUCUACCUGGUAUGAAAGAAAUGAGGCAUGCUAAUCGCAAGUUAAAGCAUUGUUUGGAUCCAAGCUCUCACGAUGAGCACAAGAAGUACCCCCUCUUUUGCAGUAUUGAUAAAAACCAAUUUUACUACGGUGUCAUCAUCAUCACUCAAAGAAAAGCACCCGGUCUGAUUAUUUCCAUGUUACUCUGUUAGAGCUCACUGUUGAUGGGUUGGUUGGAACUGCGACAGAGCGAUCGAGGCCAGUGAAUUGGAUUCUAUAGUCGAGGGGAGCUCUGUAGAUUGUAACACAUCAUUUUUUCCUGCAUGAAGGUAGAAGAUAGCGACAGAGUGCUGCAGGAUAAUGAGAUGUUGAAGCGGCAGACUGAAUCCAUGACACCGAAGUGCAAUUGCGGCAGAUUAUCUCUAUCUUUUCUUUUCAUUUUUCUUAUUAUUGAGUGAGAACAGAAUGAGGAACUGUGUGAUAGUACAUACAACAACUAGUAAAAAGAAACUUAUGUUUGCAAUUGUUAAUGACAUAGAUACUUGCAUGUUCUUUGAAGUGGUCAUUUGUGAGUAGCAAUGCAUAAUGAGGUUUUUUGGCUGAUUUA